Molecule: ribosomal RNA, 253 nt
Filed under: uncultured bacterium
Lineage: Bacteria
Description: partial 16S ribosomal RNA
Rfam family: Bacterial small subunit ribosomal RNA
Source: RNAcentral
UACGGAGGGGGCUAGCGUUGCUCGGAAUCACUGGGCGUAAAGGGUGCGUAGGCGGGUCUUUAAGUCAGGGGUGAAAUCCUGGAGCUCAACUCCAGAACUGCCUUUGAUACUGAAGAUCUUGAGUUCGGGAGAGGUGAGUGGAACUGCGAGUGUAGAGGUGAAAUUCGUAGAUAUUCGGAAGAACACCAGUGGCGAAGGCGGCUCACUGGACCGGUAUUGACGCUGAGGUGCGAAAGCGUGGGGAGCAAACAGG